UAAUACCGGAUGGUUGUUUGAACCGCAUGGUUCAAACAUAAAAGGUGGCUUCGGCUACCACUUACAGAUGGACCCGCGGCGCAUUAGCUAGUUGGUGAGGUAACGGCUCACCAAGGCAACGAUGCGUAGCCGACCUGAGAGGGUGAUCGGCCACACUGGGACUGAGACACGGCCCAGACUCCUACGGGAGGCAGCAGUAGGGAAUCUUCCGCAAUGGACGAAAGUCUGACGGAGCAACGCCGCGUGAGUGAUGAAGGUUUUCGGAUCGUAAAGCUCUGUUGUUAGGGAAGAACAAGUACCGUUCGAAUAGGGCGGUACCUUGACGGUACCUAACCAGAAAGCCACGGCUAACUACGUGCCAGCAGCCGCGGUAAUACGUAGGUGGCAAGCGUUGUCCGGAAUUAUUGGGCGUAAAGGGCUCGCAGGCGGUUUCUUAAGUCUGAUGUGAAAGCCCCCGGCUCAACCGGGGAGGGUCAUUGGAAACUGGGGAACUUGAGUGCAGAAGAGGAGAGUGGAAUUCCACGUGUAGCGGUGAAAUGCGUAGAGAUGUGGAGGAACACCAGUGGCGAAGGCGACUCUCUGGUCUGUAACUGACGCUGAGGAGCGAAAGCGUGGGGAGCGAACAGGAUUAGAUACCCUGGUAGUCCACGCCGUAAACGAUGAGUGCUAAGU
RNAcentral lists this ribosomal RNA (672 nucleotides) under Bacillus velezensis. Its description in RNAcentral is "bacterial SSU rRNA". It matches the Rfam family "Bacterial small subunit ribosomal RNA", at positions 164 to 821 of the family's 1533-position model. Lineage: Bacteria; Bacillati; Bacillota; Bacilli; Caryophanales; Bacillaceae. The record is from RNAcentral.